CCUCAGUUCUGUUCCCCAGGAGGGAAACUCCCAGGAUUGGUUGAUGCUGGAGCAGGGGGGAGGCAGCGGGGCCUCGGGGGCAGCCAAGCCUCCAGGAGACUAUGCUCUCGAUGGGAAUAAACUAGAGGUGCAUUCAGAUGCUGAGGUCCAGGACCACCAGCCUCCCUCAGCCCCGAGCAGCCCCGUCCUGUCCCACAUGGCCCUGCCCUGUACCUGGUUACUGGGCGGCAGGAGGCUGCCUGGGAUGCUAGGCCACAUGGGCCGAGCCCAGAUGGAGCAGUCUGCCAACCCUGUACCACAGUCCCCUGUGAUGGAGAAGAGUGAAGCCAUACCACUAGAGGCUCUGUCAACCAAACCCAAUGACCUCCAAGAGGUCAAGGUCGACGAGCUGGAGAUUGACGAGCUGGAGAUUGUCGAACCAGCCCCCAGCCCUGUGCCAAGCCUCAUCCCAACCCACCUCGCAAACGCCAAAGACCCAGAGAGCGACUCAGGCCUCCCCGACCGUUCCUCCGAACCCAACCAACACCCUCAGAUGGAGAAAGCCGGAAGUGCCGCGGAGAGCACCGGCACCUUCUCCUUCUCCCCUCCCCCACCCACCUUGGUCCUGCUGCGAAGAGAAUCCCCCUCCUCGCCCAGAUUGAGCCGCAUCCCCAUACGAGAUCCAACCACCGUCCCGGAUUCCCCCACCAUGGACCGCCGCCACCGCUGGAGCAGCCCCGUGCCUGGCUCGCCCUCCCACUCGCCCUCUCCAUCGCUCUCCUGCGACAACCUGCUGCCCUGUGGCGUCCGGGAGAGGUUCCUUUCCUGCUCAGACCGCGGCUCACGCUCCGACUGGCUGGGGGAAGACCGUGACUCCCUCUCGCUCUCCUCCUCAGGCAGCAGGAGUAAAAUCCCUCGGCCCAUCAUUCCCCCUCUUCCAGGGCUCGAGCAGCAGCAGCUCUCCUCCUCUGGCAGGUUCCUGCCUCGUCCGCCUCCCGGGAAACCGCCUACCCGCCCAGCUGUAGACAACAGGCGCCGGCGUUUCCGGGUGCGUGCCAGCAGCACCAGCGACGCCGACUUCCUUGCCAAUCUCACCCAACUGAUGAAGGACUGCGGCGGUGCACUUUUCAGUCCGGCGCCACACCCCCGUAGCUCUUCCUCCUCUCUACAGCGCUCACUCAGCUCCUCCCCCUCACGUCACGAGCUCCGCGAGGGGGGAGGGGUCUUCCUGGGGCGUAGCCGCUCUCCGUCCAGCUUCUCGGGGUCCCCUCCCCCUCCAUGGUACCCCCAGGACAGGCUUAGUGGGCGGCAGGGGAUCCCGUGGGGCGCAGGGCCCGGUGCCAGAGGGAGGGGCCCUAGCCACGAGGGCAAAGGCAGCGGCAAAGUGAGCCGAUAAGUGGACAGAAUGGGUAUCAGUAUGUUGUUCAGAAGGGCACACUGUUGUAAGACAUUUUGCAACAAUAAACCCGACUCGAGCGUUUCUAAUUGGACACGUUCAGCCAAGGCCUUGUCAGCUCAUUAGGCGGCCACCGCUGGCGGCAGAUUGACACGGGUGGCAUUUUCUGGGCUAAACUGAACAAGAUGCACACCCAACAACACAACCUCAAAUAAAUCUGCCCCAAAACAAUGACAAUUUCUCUCAACCAGUGGCAUAUGGGCUUUUUAGGUGAGCGCUGAUGAGCAGUUCCCACUUUGUCAAAGGCAGGGGCACAAACAUGUUGCUUGUCCAUUCCCAGAGGCGCGCUGUGCGCUCCACCAACGUUCUGUUAAGAAAAUGAUCUAACAUAAAUCAUGUAGCAGAUAUAGCCAGCGUAAAAACAUGAGCCAUUCACAAUAAUUACAGCAAAAUGUCAAGAAAACUGUAUGCUUAUUACACCACUUUAUAAUUACCGCAUGUCAGAGGCAUGACAAAUUUAGUGAAUGGACUUGAAAACAGGUGAUCUAGCCUACAGUCAAAUGUGAUGUGGUUCGACGAGAACAUUGACAUUUUGCCAAGGCAGAGACAUGGCGACAUGACAAUAGCCAAAUUUGUCAUUUCACUUUUUGGUGUUUAACAGAUGUCUCUUUCCAUUCACCACUGUUUGGAGUCUGUUAAUAUGGUGCGAUUGGAUGAACGUGCACUGCUAGCCUAUGACGGAGCCCUUUGAAGUGAUUGUUGAACAAUUAGAUGAAAACAUUUUCAUUGGUUGUUUUUAUGCCACAGUAUAAGGUAAUGCAUUUUAAAAGUGAAAUAACAGGUCUUUACGACUAGGCCCACUGAGAUCUUAUUGAAUUAAUAGGGACUCUAUAUAUCAUUCUAUGAUUAGGCCCUUUGAAAAAUGCUGGUGCACGCGGUUGGUCCCAUAGUGGGAAGAAUUGAAUUAUACUUUCACCCCUGAAUAUAGCAUAUGGUAGAAAAAGUAGGUGGCCUUUUCUGUAGCCUACAGGCUGGAGAUAAAAUGUAAUGAGACGGACACUUUUUUACAUCAUACAGGUUUCUCCGAUCAAAUAGCCUAAUCUACAUCGCGUUGACAUGUUACAACAUUUCCUAAAAACAGGACAGGUCAAAGUAAAAUGGACAAUAUGGAACAUCAGGCUAUUCACAACUGCUGUUCAGACGUUUCAUCCCGUUGGCAAAAUGCUCAUGAUCAGUGGUUUAAAGUUUAUAUCUGUACAUUUUUUUUUACAAGCCGAUCAUAGCGAAAAAGAAAGUACUUCUUUAUUUCCCGCUGUGCGAACACAUUGCAAAUAGGCUCAGGAUAACUCCUGAUGAAGUUGUGUAGCUGAUAUUCAGAGCUGAAAUAGCCAAAUUGACUAGUCACAGGAAUCAGGACUAAUCAAGCCAAUGCAACGCCUGUUUUACAAACGGUGGGUCUUCCACAUGGUUGGGCAUUCAUAAAAUUCCUUUGCAGACCAACACAGUAGGCUUCACCCUAGUGAUCAUGGGCCGACGUCUCCUGGAUGUCUUUUUUUGGCCCUGUCCGGACCUGCCGUCUUUUAUUGGUAUUUUACAAACGGUAGGCCUACUACAUAGAUGGGCAUUCAUAAAAUUCUAAUUAGGCGACACUGUAGGCUACACCUCGGUAAGCACAGAUCGAUGCCGUCGCCUUUUGGAUGCCUUUUUUGGGGGGGUCCUAUCUGGAUCGGCCUAGAUUUCCACGGCCACGGAUGUUGGUUUUUAGUUCGGUCCAGACCAAAUCAUAGACAUCUAUGUUUGUUUCAGACCGUCUUUCAUUUGCCUCGCCUCGGGUGACAGAACAGUCAGGACCAGCCCUGCUUUCAGCAGGUACAUCUAUGUUUCGUCCCCACUGCACACGACCCAGGCGGCUAUGGUUACUCAGACUGUAAUAAUGUAUGUACAGAGAACGUACUGCAUCGGAUCCCAUCUUCAACUUUGACAGCAUGUCUACAUAUAUAUAUAUGAUCUACUACUGUACUCCAGGGAAUGUACUGUAUGUAAUGUAAAAUGUAUGAUAGAAUGUAUCUAUUUAUUUGAUGUGUCUCGAAAAAUGUACUUGAAAAAUGUAGCUUGAUUCCAGCAUUGGAACAUCAUAUUUCCGAAAAUCAUUGAGAUGGUCUACUCUUUCUCCCUGACCCCAGUCCUGGGUUCUUAACACUAUGUAUGUAUGUAUGCCAUGAGACCAAAAAGAUCUGUACUGUAUCAUAUGAGGGAUCUGAAGGAGGUUGCCUUGUAUAUACAGUUGAAGUCGGAAGUUUACAUACACUUAGGUUGGAGUCAUUAAAACUCGUUUUCAACCACUCCACACAUGUCUUGUUAACAAACUACCGUUUUGGCAAGUCAGUUAGGACAUCUACUUUGUGAAUGACACAUGUCAUUUUUCCAACAAUUGUUUACAGACAUAUUAUUUCACUUAUAAUUCACUGUAUCACAAUUCCAGUGGGUCAGAAGUUUACAUACCCUUAGUUGACUGCCUUUAAACAGCUUGGAAAAUACCAGAAAAUAAUGUCAUGACUUUAGAAGCUUCUGAUAGGCUAAUUGACAUCAUUUGAAUCAAUUGGAGGUGUACCUGUGGAUGUAUUUCAAGGCCUACCUUCAAACUCAAAGCCUCUUUGCUUGACAUCAUGGGAAAAUCAGAAGAAAUAAGCCAACAGCCAUCAACCUCAGGAAAAAAAAAUUGUAGACCUCCACAAGUCUGGUUCAUCCUUGAAACGAGUCCUAUAACAUAACCUGAAAGGCCGCUCAGCAAAUAAGAAGCCCCUGCUCCAAAACCGCCAUAAAAAGCCAGACUAUGGUUUGCAACUGCACAUGGGGAGAAAGAUCAUACUUUCCUGACCUGGGUCUUUCAAAUGGACAAUGACCCCCACGCAUACUUCCAAAAGUAAGCAAAAUGGCUUAAGGACAACAAAGUCAAGGUAUUGGAGUGGCCAUCACAGCCCUGAUCUCACUCCUAUAGAACAUUUGUGGGCAGAGCUGAAAAACCUGACUCAGUUACACCAGCUCUGUCAGGAGGAAUGGGCCAAAAUUCACCCAACUUAUUGUGGGAAGCUUGUGGAAGGCUACCUGAAACUUUGACCCAAGUUAAACAAUUGAAUGGCAAUGCUACCACUUACUAAUUGAAUGUAUGUAAACUUCUGACCCACUGGGAAUGUGAUGAAAGAAAUAAAAGCUGAAAUAAAUCAUUCUCUCUACUAUUAUUCUGACAUUUCACAUUCUUAAAAUAAAGUGGUGAUCCUAACUGACCUAAGACAGGCAAUUUUUUUACUAAGAUUAAAUGUCAGUCAUUGUGAAAAACUGUUUAAAUGUGUUUGGCUAAGGUGUACGUAAACUUCCGACUUCAACUGUAUGUACCGUUUAAAAAUAUAUAUAUAAUAAUUGUAUAGAGAGCAUUUCAGUGCUGUUCAUUCAAACUAAAUGUUAAUCUUAUUGCACCAACUUAUCAGCAUUCAUUUGUAAUAACCAGUGCAUGUAGUCCCAUCAACUCCAUUUCUCCUUUCCCUAAAACGACUAGAUGAAACAUGUAUUUCAAGCUAUUUAAAAGAUCUCACUCACUCUGGCGUAUUCACAAUGUAAUUCUGUGAUUUUAUUGCGAGAAAAUCUCUUAUUUUAGGUGAUGUGGAGGUGUCACAAUGUUGGAAUGUAAAAUGUUUUUUAAAAAGCACUACUGAAUUAAUGUAACAAGUGCAUGGAUAUCAUUGCAAAUAUAUGUGUGUUUAAAAAAAAAAAAACAUUUGUAGGGUCCGCUAAAACAAAACUGUAUUUUUUUAAUAAACGGGUCCCGAUUUUAAAUACAUUUAUCAUGCAGACCAGCAAAAUUGGAGUCUAUUUGUAUCUGCCCUCCUGAAAAACUGAUAUAAUGAUUGCAGAAAAUCAAAUAAAGUAUACAUUUGGCUUAUAGUGAACUAUAUGAAAUGAAUGUUCAAUGUAGUAGGCUACCUACCCUUUUGUCUUUAUUAAUAUUCAUAUAAAAACUAUGCUGUCAAAACUAUUUAAUUAAACAGAUGUGAUCUGUAA
Molecule: long non-coding RNA, 5431 nt
Organism: Oncorhynchus tshawytscha (Chinook salmon)
Lineage: Eukaryota; Metazoa; Chordata; Actinopteri; Salmoniformes; Salmonidae
Source: Ensembl